This 466-nucleotide ribosomal RNA is filed under the name uncultured bacterium. Its description in RNAcentral is "bacterial SSU rRNA". It matches the Rfam family "Bacterial small subunit ribosomal RNA", at positions 331 to 795 of the family's 1533-position model. The record is from RNAcentral.
CCAGACUCCUACGGGAGGCAGCAGUGAGGAAUAUUGGUCAAUGGGCGCAGGCCUGAACCAGCCAAGUCGCGUGAGGGAAGACUGCCCUAUGGGUUGUAAACCUCUUUUAUAAGGGAAGAAUAAUGACUACGUGUAGUCAGAUGCCCGUACCUUAUGAAUAAGCAUCGGCUAACUCCGUGCCAGCAGCCGCGGUAAUACGGAGGAUGCGAGCGUUAUCCGGAUUUAUUGGGUUUAAAGGGUGCGUAGGCGGCAUUAUAAGUUAGUGGUAAAAUAUUGGGGCUUCACCUCACUACGCCAUUAAUACUGUAGAGCUAGAGAACAGACGAGGUAGGCGGAAUAAGUUAAGUAGCGGUGAAAUGCAUAGAUAUAACUUAGAACACCGAUAGCGAAGGCAGCGUACCAGACUGAGUCUGACGCUGAUGCACGAGAGCAUGGGUAGCGAACAGGAUUAGAUACCCGCGUAUCC